This 719-nucleotide long non-coding RNA is filed under the name Homo sapiens (human). RNAcentral's name for it is "MIR663A host gene". The record is from RNAcentral. Lineage: Eukaryota; Metazoa; Chordata; Mammalia; Primates; Hominidae.
AGAAAUACUAGGCUUUAGAAUUUCACCAUAUGAAUUUUGGGAGAGAGGAGCACAGUUCAGCCCAUAACUAACACACGACGGAAUGAAGUUGAUAAUAGUGAGACCUUGUUGGUACAAGACUAUGUAACAUAACCUGCGCUUCUCAACAAAGAAUUGCUUUUCUGACUUCUGCACUCAGUUCUUUCCUCCAGCUCACUUUAUUGUAAGAACCUUGGUGUCUGUAAUCGGCUCGGAACCCUUGCUGCUCUUUCACUGAAUAUCGCUGUCUGGAGCAACACGCUGUCCUGGAUAGCUAACGUGUUUAUGAAUGCAAGGAAAUUUUCAAAAAGGGAGUUUGAAAUUUAACUCCACAAACUACUAUCUGGAUUGGAAUGCUACAUUAAAUGUAUUAUAAUUUUGUAUGGACAUAUAAGGAUGGGGAAUGAAAAGCAUCCAAGGCCAUAUGUUGAUAAUCUUUUGAUAUGUUAAGAAAUAAUCUAGUGUUAUUUUCUAUUUCUUCUCAAAUGUUUUUAGAGGUUACUUGGUACACUGGUCGACAAAACCUUGAAAUGUUGAUGUUUAAGGGCUGUUGAUUGCUGGCAGCAAAGAAGUCCAACUGUGCUGGUACCCGAGAUAGCGUCUCCACAUUUUCUUCCAGGAUCAUCACCUUUGUUCUAAAUAGCUCCCACAUAGUGUGAACAGAAGUCAUAUGUUUUAGAUUUUCUGCCUUGGCACCCAGG